UGACCUGAGGCCCUGAGAGUCUCUUCUUGGACUAGAAAUGCAGAAUUCUAACAAGAUGUCAUUAUCUACAACCAGAACAAAAGCAAUACAGUGUGAAGUGUUGUCCAAUUUUCCUGUAAGCAAUUCAAACUCAUGGAAGUUUAUUACUCCAAGCAGGCUCCAGAAAGCAAUAAAUGAAGCUAAAUAUGA
Daphnia magna is the source of this 189-nucleotide long non-coding RNA. RefSeq lists it as uncharacterized. The record is from RefSeq and is a predicted model, not a curated record. NCBI's taxonomy places the organism in Eukaryota, Metazoa, Arthropoda, Branchiopoda, Diplostraca, Daphniidae. The transcript is spliced from 2 exons.